UACGUAGGCAGCAAGCGUUGUUCGGAGUUACUGGGCGUAAAGAGUGCGUAGGUGGUGCCCUAAGUCUGUUGUGAAAUCUCCCGGCUUAACUGGGAGGGUGCGGUGGAAACUGGGGUGCUCGAGUGUGGGAGAGGUAAGCGGAAUUCCUGGUGUAGCGGUGAAAUGCGUAGAUAUCAGGAGGAACACCGGUGGUGUAGACGGCUUACUGGACCACGACUGACACUGAGGCACGAAAGCGUGGGUAGCAAACAGG
RNAcentral lists this ribosomal RNA (253 nucleotides) under uncultured bacterium. RNAcentral's name for it is "partial 16S ribosomal RNA". It matches the Rfam family "Bacterial small subunit ribosomal RNA", at positions 524 to 776 of the family's 1533-position model. The record is from RNAcentral.